CCUACGGGAGGCUGCAGUGGGGAAUAUUGCACAAUGGGGGAAACCCUGAUGCAGCGACGCCGCGUGAGUGAAGAAGUAUCUCGGGAUGUAAAGCUUCAUUAGUAGGGAAGAAAAUGACGGUACCUGAGUAAGAAGCCCCGGCUAACUACGUGCCAGCAGCCGCGGUAACACGGAGGGCGCAAGCGUUAUCCGGAUUUACUGGGUGUAAAGGGAGCGUAGACGGCAGCACAAGUCUGGAGUGAAAUGUCGGGGCUUAACCCCGGAACUGCUGUUGAAACUGUGCAGCUAGAGUGCAGGAGAGGUAAGUGGAAUGCGUGGUGUAGCGGUGAAAUGCGUAGAUAUUAGGAAGAACACCGAUGGCGAAGGCAGCUUACUGGACUGUAACUGACGUUGAGGCUCGAAAGCGUGGGGAUCAAACAGGAUUAGAUACCCUUGUAGUC
Molecule: ribosomal RNA, 440 nt
Filed under: uncultured bacterium
Lineage: Bacteria
Description: partial 16S ribosomal RNA
Rfam family: Bacterial small subunit ribosomal RNA
Source: RNAcentral